Molecule: ribosomal RNA, 465 nt
Filed under: uncultured delta proteobacterium
Lineage: Bacteria; Deltaproteobacteria
Description: partial 16S ribosomal RNA
Rfam family: Bacterial small subunit ribosomal RNA
Source: RNAcentral
CCUACGGGAGGCAGCAGUGGGGAAUCUUGCGCAAUGGGGGAAACCCUGACGCAGCGACGCCACGUGGGUGAUGAAGGCCUUCGGGUCGUAAAGCCCUGUCAGGUGGGAAGAAACCUACUGGCUCGAAUAGGGCUGGUAGCUGACGGUACCACCAGAGGAAGCAUCGGCUAACUCCGUGCCAGCAGCCGCGGUAAUACGGAGGGUGCGAGCGUUGCUCGGAAUCACUGGGCGUAAAGCGCGUGUAGGCGGUCAGGCAAGUCAGAUGUGAAAGCCCCUGGCUUAACCAGGAAAGUGCAUUUGAAACUGCUUGGCUGGAGCACGGGAGAGGAGAGUGGAAUUCCCGGUGUAGAGGUGAAAUUCGUAGAUAUCGGGAGGACCACCGGUGGCGAAGGCGGCUCUCUGGCCCGAUACUGCCGCUGAGACGCGAAAGCAUGGGGAGCAAACAGGAUUAGAUCCCCGGGUAGU